Molecule: ribosomal RNA, 157 nt
Filed under: Mycetinis alliaceus
Lineage: Eukaryota; Fungi; Basidiomycota; Agaricomycetes; Agaricales; Omphalotaceae
Also listed under: 2 other names
Description: 5.8S ribosomal RNA
Rfam family: 5.8S ribosomal RNA
About the family: 5.8S ribosomal RNA (5.8S rRNA) is a component of the large subunit of the eukaryotic ribosome. It is transcribed by RNA polymerase I as part of the 45S precursor that also contains 18S and 28S rRNA.
Source: RNAcentral
AACUUUCAGCAACGGAUCUCUUGGCUCUCCCAUCGAUGAAGAACGCAGCGAAAUGCGAUAAGUAAUGUGAAUUGCAGAAUUCAGUGAAUCAUCGAAUCUUUGAACGCACCUUGCGCCCUUUGGUAUUCCGAAGGGCAUGCCUGUUUGAGUGUCAUUA